ACGGAAGGCAGCAGUGGGGAAUAUUGGGCAAUGGGGGAAACCCUGACCCAGCAACGCCGCGUGGAGGAAGAAGGUUUUCGGAUCGUAAACUCCUGUCCUGAAAGACGAGAAGAAGACGGUAUUUCAGGAGGAAGCCCCGGCUAACUACGUGCCAGCAGCCGCGGUAAUACGUAGGGGGCAAGCGUUAUCCGGAUUUACUGGGUGUAAAGGGAGCGUAGACGGUUUGGCAAGUCUGAAGUGAAAUGCGGGGGCUCAACUCCUGAACUGCUUUGGAAACUGUCGAACUAGAGUGCAGGAGAGGUAAGUGGAAUUCCUAGUGUAGCGGUGAAAUGCGUAGAUAUUAGGAGGAACACCAGUGGCGAAGGCGGCUUACUGGACUGUAACUGACGUUGAGGCUCGAAAGCGUGGGGAGCAAACAGGAUUAGAUACCCUGGUA
RNAcentral lists this ribosomal RNA (436 nucleotides) under uncultured Clostridium sp. RNAcentral describes it as "partial 16S ribosomal RNA". It matches the Rfam family "Bacterial small subunit ribosomal RNA", at positions 341 to 792 of the family's 1533-position model. Lineage: Bacteria; Bacillati; Bacillota; Clostridia; Eubacteriales; Clostridiaceae. The record is from RNAcentral.